This 66-nucleotide transfer RNA is filed under the name Loxocorone allax. RNAcentral's name for it is "tRNA-Phe". It matches the Rfam family "tRNA". From Rfam's summary of the family: Transfer RNA (tRNA) molecules are approximately 80 nucleotides in length. Their secondary structure includes four short double-helical elements and three loops (D, anti-codon, and T loops). Further hydrogen bonds mediate the characteristic L-shaped molecular structure. tRNAs have two regions of fundamental functional importance: the anti-codon, which is responsible for specific mRNA codon recognition, and the 3' end, to which the tRNAs corresponding amino acid is attached (by aminoacyl-tRNA synthetases). tRNAs cope with the degeneracy of the genetic code in two manners: having more than one tRNA (with a specific anti-codon) for a particular amino acid; and 'wobble' base-pairing, i.e. permitting non-standard base-pairing at the 3rd anti-codon position. Lineage: Eukaryota; Metazoa; Entoprocta; Loxosomatidae. The record is from RNAcentral.
AUUUAGGUAGCUCAAAUUUAGAGCGUAACAUUGAAGCUGUUAAGAUGAUAAUUUUAUCCUUAAAUA